RNAcentral lists this ribosomal RNA (326 nucleotides) under uncultured eukaryote. RNAcentral's name for it is "partial 18S ribosomal RNA". It matches the Rfam family "Eukaryotic small subunit ribosomal RNA", at positions 1470 to 1796 of the family's 1831-position model. The record is from RNAcentral.
CCCUUAGAUGUUCUGGGCUGCACGCGCGCUACACUGAUGCACUCAACGAGUUUACGACCUUGCCCGAUAGGGUUGGGUAAUCUUUUUAAAAUGCAUCGUGAUGGGGAUAGAUUAUUGCAAUUAUUAAUCUUCAACGAGGAAUUCCUAGUAAGCGCGAGUCAUCAGCUCGUGCUGAUUACGUCCCUGCCCUUUGUACACACCGCCCGUCGCUCCUACCGAUUGAGUGCUCAGGUGAAUAAUUCGGACUGCAGCAAUGUUUGGAUCCCGAACGUUGCAGCGGAAAGUUUUGUGAACCUUAUCACUUAGAGGAAGGAGAAGUCGUAACA